UACGGAGGGGGGCUAGCGUUGUUCGGAAUUACUGGGCGUAAAGCGCACGUAGGCGGCUUUGUAAGUUAGAGGUGAAAGCCCGGGGCUCAACUCCGGAAUUGCCUUUAAGACUGCAUCGCUAGAACGUCGGAGAGGUAAGUGGAAUUCCGAGUGUAGAGGUGAAAUUCGUAGAUAUUCGGAAGAACACCAGUGGCGAAGGCGACUUACUGGACGACCGUUGACGCUGAGGUGCGAAAGCGUGGGGGAGCAAACAGG
Molecule: ribosomal RNA, 255 nt
Filed under: uncultured bacterium
Lineage: Bacteria
Description: partial 16S ribosomal RNA
Rfam family: Bacterial small subunit ribosomal RNA
Source: RNAcentral